UUUUGUCUUUGUAAUUUUUAACAUGAACUUUAAAUAUCAAACACAAUAUAACACUGAGUAAAAACGUAACAGUCCUGCAAGUGGCUUUCAGAGCCCUGGAUUGUGAUUUUUUGAAAGUUAUGUUGUGAAUAGCGCAACUGGUAUAGAUGGAUAAACCAUGCGUAUCGCGUCGUGACAAGAUAUUUAAAACAAGUAUAGACUGUUUUCUCACGUCUCUGCAUGUUUGUACAUUCUAUGUUCUAAAACGUCAUAACUUCAUUUUCACUGUAUUUACAAAAUCCCAGAUUCACUUUCUAUUCUUAUGAGUUUAGGAAUUUUCUAUAAGUAAAUCAAACAUUCGGCAAAUGUAAUACAAAAUGAUCUGACACUGCUUUGCACCAGUAAAUAAGACAUUAAAAAUUACCUAUAGCUUGUUAACUGUUUGUCAUGUGAUGCUCUGCUGCUUUGUCUUCUUCUCUACUGCAGAGUGUGCCCUGGCUAUGCCAAGACUGAACUUGAUUAUGAUGUAAUUUGCUAAAUCUUUAAUAUAUAUGUAAAAUAAAAUGGAGCCGCACACAAAGGUUAACAGAAGUUAUAAGUUAUUCUUAAUGCUCUAUUCAAUGGUGUAAUUUCCAGAGAAGUGUCAGUUUCUCUGUUUGAAGAAUGUAUCCAUUUGGAUAUUUGUAUAGACUCUGAUUAAACCACCUCUUCAGGUAGAGAAUUCCGCAUCCUUAUUGUUCUAACUGUAAAAACACACUUUCCUUUGCCUUAGAUUAAAUCUCCU
Molecule: non-coding RNA, 763 nt
Organism: Pelobates cultripes (western spadefoot toad)
Lineage: Eukaryota; Metazoa; Chordata; Amphibia; Anura; Pelobatidae
Source: the annotation of a GenBank genome assembly